RNAcentral lists this ribosomal RNA (450 nucleotides) under uncultured organism. Its description in RNAcentral is "partial 16S ribosomal RNA". It matches the Rfam family "Bacterial small subunit ribosomal RNA", at positions 333 to 799 of the family's 1533-position model. The record is from RNAcentral.
ACACUCCUGCGGGAGGCAGCAGUGGGGAAUAUUGGACAAUGGGCGCAAGCCUGAUCCAGCCAUGCCGCGUGAGUGAUGAAGGCCCUAGGGUUGUAAAGCUCUUUCACCGGUGAAGAUAAUGACGGUAACCGGAGAAGAAGCCCCGGCUAACUUCGUGCCAGCAGCCGCGGUAAUACGAAGGGGGCUAGCGUUGUUCGGAUUUACUGGGCGUAAAGCGCACGUAGGCGGACUAUUAAGUCAGGGGUGAAAUCCCGGGGCUCAACCCCGGAACUGCCUUUGAUACUGGUAGUCUUGAGUUCGAGAGAGGUGAGUGGAAGUCCGAGUGUAGAGGUGAAAUUCGUAGAUAUUCGGAGGAACACCAGUGGCGAAGGCGGCUCACUGGCUCGAUACUGACGCUGAGGUGCGAAAGCGUGGGGAGCAAACAGGAUUAGAAACCCCUGUAGUCCCAUG